Molecule: ribosomal RNA, 248 nt
Filed under: uncultured bacterium
Lineage: Bacteria
Description: partial 16S ribosomal RNA
Rfam family: Bacterial small subunit ribosomal RNA
Source: RNAcentral
GCAAGUCGAGCGGUAGAUUGAUUAAAGAAGCUUCGGUGGAAUUACUUGAUUGAGAGCGGCGAACGGGUGAGUAACACGUUGGUAUCUGCCCCCAAGUCAGGGAUAGCCAUUGGAAACGAUGAUUAAUACCGGAUAGUCUCUUCGGAGUAAAAAUUUAUUGCUUGGGGAGGAGCCUGCGGUCUAUCAGCUAGUUGGUGAGGUAAUAGCUCACCAAGGCUAUGACGGAUACCUGGUCUGAGAGGAUGAUC